GGAUGUGAGGGUGAUCUGGCUGCAACAUCUGCCACCCCAUGGAUCACCAGGGUUGAUUUGGCUGAUCUGGCUGGCUAGGCAGGUGUUCCCUUCCUUCCUCACCGCUCCACGUGCAUCCCUCCUGAAGCUGAACGCUCGGUUGAAGAUGAUGGCCCUCCCUGAACAGAGAUGGACCGGUCUUCAGUAGAGGGUAUAGCUGUGCUCCCCUGCUAGAACCUCCAAACAAGCUCUCAAAAAGAACUUUGGCCCAUACUCCAGAGAGGUAAAGGGCUGAGAAGUAAGACCAUAGGGCUCUGUUCCCUCAUUC
Unclassified non-coding RNA from Erinaceus europaeus (western European hedgehog), 307 nucleotides. Its record names the gene 7SK. It matches the Rfam family "7SK RNA". Rfam says of the family: 7SK was discovered as an abundant small nuclear RNA in the mid-70s but a possible function has only recently been suggested. Two independent studies have found that 7SK RNA binds the CDK9/cyclin T complex (known as elongation factor P-TEFb). The record is from Ensembl. NCBI's taxonomy places the organism in Eukaryota, Metazoa, Chordata, Mammalia, Eulipotyphla, Erinaceidae.